RNAcentral lists this ribosomal RNA (468 nucleotides) under uncultured bacterium. RNAcentral describes it as "partial 16S ribosomal RNA". It matches the Rfam family "Bacterial small subunit ribosomal RNA", at positions 28 to 507 of the family's 1533-position model. The record is from RNAcentral.
GAUGAACGCUGGCGGCGUGCUUAACACAUGCAAGUCGAACGGAAAGGCCCAAGCUUGCUUGGGUACUCGAGUGGCGAACGGGUGAGUAACACGUGGGUGAUCUGCCCUGCACUUCGGGAUAAGCCUGGGAAACUGGGUCUAAUACCGGAUAGGACGAUGGUUUGGAUGCCAUUGUGGAAAGUUUUUUCGGUGUGGGAUGAGCUCGCGGCCUAUCAGCUUGUUGGUGGGGUAAUGGCCUACCAAGGCGUCGACGGGUAGCCGGCCUGAGAGGGUGUACGGCCACAUUGGGACUGAGAUACGGCCCAGACUCCUACGGGAGGCAGCAAUGGGGAAUAUUGCACAAUGGGCGCAAGCCUGAUGCAGCGACGCCGCGUGGGGGAUGACGGCCUUCGGGUUGUAAACUCCUGUCGCUAGGGACGAAGCGUUUUUGUGACGGUACCUGGAGAAGAAGCACCGGCUAACUACGUG